CCUACGGGAGGCAGCAGUGGGGAAUUUUGGACAAUGGGGGCAACCCUGAUCCAGCCAUGCCGCGUGAGUGAAGAAGGCCUUCGGGUUGUAAAGCUCUUUCGGCCGGAACGAAAUCGCGCACGUGAAUAACGUGCGUGGAUGACGGUACCGGAGUAAGAAGCACCGGCUAACUACGUGCCAGCAGCCGCGGUAAUACGUAGGGUGCGAGCGUUAAUCGGAAUUACUGGGCGUAAAGCGUGCGCAGGCGGUUCGCUAAGUCAGACGUGAAAGCCCCGGGCUUAACCUGGGAACGGCGUUUGAAACUGGCGGGCUCGAGUACGGCAGAGGGGGGUGGAAUUCCACGUGUAGCAGUGAAAUGCGUAGAUAUGUGGAGGAACACCGAUGGCGAAGGCAGCCCCCUGGGCCGAUACUGACGCUCAUGCACGAAAGCGUGGGGAGCAAACAGGAUUAGAUACCCUGGUAGUCCACGCCCUAAACUAUGUCAACUAGUUGUCGGGGAAGCAAUUCCUUGGUAACGCAGCUAACGCGUGAAGUUGACCGCCUGGGGAGUACGGUCGCAAGAUUAAAAACCUCAAAGGAAUUGACGG
This 587-nucleotide ribosomal RNA is filed under the name uncultured bacterium. RNAcentral describes it as "bacterial SSU rRNA". It matches the Rfam family "Bacterial small subunit ribosomal RNA", at positions 338 to 916 of the family's 1533-position model. The record is from RNAcentral.